UACAGGGGGUGCAAACGUUGUUCGGAAUUAUUGGGCGUAAAGCGCGCGUAGGCGGCUACUUAAGUCGGAUGUGAAAGCCCCUGGCUCAACUGGGGAAGUGCACCCGAAACUGAGUGGCUUGAGUACUAAAGAGGGUCGCGGAAUUCCCGGUGUAGAGGUGAAAUUCGUGGAUAUCGGGAGGAACACCGGUGGCGAAGGCGGCGACCUGGGUAGAUACUGACGCUGAGGCGCGAAAGCGUGGGGAGCAAACAGG
This 253-nucleotide ribosomal RNA is filed under the name uncultured bacterium. RNAcentral describes it as "partial 16S ribosomal RNA". It matches the Rfam family "Bacterial small subunit ribosomal RNA", at positions 524 to 776 of the family's 1533-position model. The record is from RNAcentral.